This 815-nucleotide ribosomal RNA is filed under the name uncultured haloarchaeon. RNAcentral's name for it is "bacterial SSU rRNA". It matches the Rfam family "Archaeal small subunit ribosomal RNA", at positions 50 to 867 of the family's 1478-position model. Lineage: Archaea; Methanobacteriati; Methanobacteriota; Halobacteria; Halobacteriales; Halobacteriaceae. The record is from RNAcentral.
CAUGCUAGUCGCACGGGUUAGACCCGUGGCAGACAGCUCAGUAACACGUGGCCAAACUACCCUACGGAGCGGAAUAACCUCGGGAAACUGAGGCUAAUCCCGCAUAAGGCUCCCAGGCUGGAGUGCCGGGAGCUGGAAACGCUCUGGCGCCGUAGGACGUGGCUGCGGCCGAUUAGGUAGACGGUGGGGUAACGGCCCACCGUGCCCAUAAUCGGUACGGGUUGUGAGAGCAAGAGCCCGGAGACGGCAUCUGAGACAAGAUGCCGGGCCCUACGGGGCGCAGCAGGCGCGAAACCUUUACACUGCACGACAGUGCGAUAGGGGGACUCCGAGUGCGAGGGCAUAUCGUCCUCGCUUUUCUGCACCGUAAGGUGGUACAGGAAUAAGGGCUGGGCAAGACCGGUGCCAGCCGCCGCGGUAAUACCGGCAGCCCGAGUGAUGGCCGCUGUUAUUGGGCCUAAAGCGUCCGUAGCCGGCCGAUCAAGUCCGUCGGGAAAUCCACCCGCUCAACGGGUGGGCGUCCGGCGGAAACUGAUCGGCUUGGGGCCGGAAGACCUGAGGGGUACGUCCGGGGUAGGAGUGAAAUCCCGUAAUCCUGGACGGACCGCCGGUGGCGAAAGCGCCUCAGGAGGACGGACCCGACGGUCAGGGACGAAAGCUAGGGUCUCGAACCGGAUUAGAUACCCGGGUAGUCCUAGCCGUAAACGAUGGCCGCUAGGUGUGGCGCAGGCUACGAGCCUGCGCUGUGCCGUAGGGAAGCCGUGAAGCGGCCCGCCUGGGAAGUACGUCCGCAAGGAUGAAACUUAAAGGAAUUG